This 611-nucleotide ribosomal RNA is filed under the name uncultured Acidobacteriota bacterium. RNAcentral's name for it is "bacterial SSU rRNA". It matches the Rfam family "Bacterial small subunit ribosomal RNA", at positions 8 to 651 of the family's 1533-position model. The record is from RNAcentral. Lineage: Bacteria; Pseudomonadati; Acidobacteriota.
AGAGUUUGAUCCUGGCUCAGAAUCAACGCUGGCGGCGCGCCUAACACAUGCAAGUCGAACGAGAAAGUGGAGCAAUCCAUGAGUACAGUGGCGUACGGGUGAGUAACACGUGGGUAAUCUACCUCUUAGUGUGGAAUAACCCUGGGAAACCGGGGCUAAUACCGCAUAAGCUCGAGAGAGGAAAGCAGCAAUGCGCUGAGAGAGGAGCCCGCGGCCGAUUAGCUAGUUGGCAGGGUAAAAGCCUACCAAGGCAAAGAUCGGUAGCCGGCCUGAGAGGGCACACGGCCACACUGGCACUGAAACACGGGCCAGGCUCCUACGGGAGGCAGCAGUGGGGAAUCUUGCACAAUGGGCGAAAGCCUGAUGCAGCGACGCCGCGUGAGCGAUGAAGCCCUUCGGGGUGUAAAGCUCUUUCGACGGGAACGAUAAUGACGGUACCCGGAGAAGAAGCUGCGGCUAACUACGUGCCAGCAGCCGCGGUAAUACGUAGGCAGCGAGCGUUGUUCGGAAUUACUGGGCGUAAAGAGUGUGUAGGCGGUGCUCCCAGUCUGUUGUGAAAUCUCCCGGCUUAACUGGGAGGGUGCAGCGGAAACUAGAGUGCUAGAGGGUGG